GGAAAGUAAAAGUCGUAACAAGGUCUCCGUUGGUGAACCAGCGGAGGGAUCAUUACCGAGUUUUUUACUCCCAAACCCCUGUGAACUUAUACCUUUACCGUUGCUUCGGCGGGUUAACGCCCCGGAAAGGCCCCCGAAAGGGAGCCGCCCCGGAACCAGGCGCCCGCCGGGGGACCCAAACUCUUGUAUUUUCUUACCUAGCAUGUCUGAGUGGAAUCAUAAACAAAUGAAUCAAAACUUUCAACAACGGAUCUCUUGGUUCUG
RNAcentral lists this unclassified non-coding RNA (264 nucleotides) under plant metagenome. Its description in RNAcentral is "partial contains small subunit ribosomal RNA, internal transcribed spacer 1, and 5.8S ribosomal RNA". The stretch from base 1 to 55 matches the Rfam family "Eukaryotic small subunit ribosomal RNA", at positions 1777 to 1831 of the family's 1831-position model. The record is from RNAcentral.